RNAcentral lists this ribosomal RNA (434 nucleotides) under Smeringopina tebe. RNAcentral's name for it is "partial 16S ribosomal RNA". It matches the Rfam family "Archaeal large subunit ribosomal RNA", at positions 1921 to 2666 of the family's 2987-position model. Lineage: Eukaryota; Metazoa; Arthropoda; Arachnida; Araneae; Pholcidae. The record is from RNAcentral.
CGCUUUAAGUUAUAAUUUAAAGUAUUACCUGCUCAAUGACAAAUUAAAUAGCCGCAGCAUAAACUGUGCUAAGGUAGCAUAAUAAUUAGCUUUUUAAUUAGAAGAUCGUAUGAAUGGUCAAACAGAAAAUGACUGUUUCAUCUAAUCAAAUGAACUUAUCUUCUUAGUCAAAACGCUAACUUACAUGUGAAAGACGACAAGACCCUGAUAAACUUAACAUUUAGUUGGGGCAACAAAAUAAAAAAACUUUAAUUGUUAUACAUAUAAAUAUUUUAUCAGUAUUAUACUAAUACAACUAGUUACUACAGGGAUAACAGCGCAAUUCUUUUUAAAAGCCCUUAUUUAAAAAAGACAUUACGACCUCGAUGUUGAAUUAAUUUCACCUAGUAGUGCAAAAACCACAAAAGGAUGGUCUGUUCGACCAAUAAUAAAUU